This 428-nucleotide long non-coding RNA is filed under the name Ananas comosus (pineapple). RNAcentral describes it as "long non-coding RNA (ACOM_LNC000213)". The record is from RNAcentral. Lineage: Eukaryota; Viridiplantae; Streptophyta; Magnoliopsida; Poales; Bromeliaceae.
AAAAGACUUAAAUAUGGAUGAAACAAUUAUAACCUUUUCAAUAUAGAUAAAAAUAAUAGAGAAAACUUCAAAAACCCUCAUGUGAUUUCGUAGUUUCUCACUUUGGCCCCCUGUGGUUAAAAAUGUAUUAAAUUGCCCCUAUGUGGUUUCGUUUUUAUCUUUUUGGUAGCUUUUUCGCUAAUAUUUUAUUAAAUUAUAUACAAAAAACUUUAGAUACUCAUAUAGAUUUAUCAAAUAUUCACUUUAGUACCCUUUAAUUUUAAUUUUAUCACUGAUUUAAGAAAAAAAAAAUAAAAUUGAUAAGAAAAAGAGAAAAAAGAAAUCACAGCGGAACAAAUUGAUAUAUUUUAAACCACAGGGGGUAAAGUGAGAAACUACGAAACCAUAUAGAGGGUUUUUGAAGUUUUCCCAAAAUAAUAUGUAACAAC